Molecule: ribosomal RNA, 155 nt
Filed under: uncultured bacterium
Lineage: Bacteria
Description: partial 16S ribosomal RNA
Rfam family: Bacterial small subunit ribosomal RNA
Source: RNAcentral
UGGGGAAUUUUGCGCAAUGGGGGAAACCCUGACGCAGCAACGCCGCGUGGAGGAUGAAGCCCCUUGGGGUGUAAACUCCUUUCGAUCGGGACGAAACCCGUUGGCUAACAUCCAACGGCUUGACUGUACCGGGAGAAGAAGCACCGGCUAACUCU